CCCCUCAUUAGGUAUAUGUAUACCUCCUUUUCAACUCUCCUCCUUCCUUCCGGUAGAAAGUUUGCCGGAAUAGUAAACCAGAAGAUCUUUCCGAUCUCAGUUUUCCGGUGGCUUUUUUACCAUUCGUGUAUUUUUGUUUGUAAAAAAAGUGGGAUAGAGGGAAAGGGAGACAAGGUUCGGGGAAGGUGCUAGAAUAGGUGGCUUGGAACAAAAGAAUCAUUGGUUAAUUUAUUAUUAUUAUUUGUUCCGAGACCACCUAUUCCAACAUUUUCCUUUGACUAUCUCCCCAUCCCUUUUUAUCCUAAGACAACUGCGGCUGCUGCUUUGUUUUGUUUAAGAAGAAAACGGUGAUCCAUUUUAUUUUAUAAUUUUAUAAUUUUAUUCUUUCACAAAUCACCAGAUCUUGAAACCGUUUUUGAUUGCUUUGCAGGUUUUAUGAAAGUUAUCUGCGUAAAUAUCAAGUGUGAUGAUAGAUCCUAAAGCAGUGAACACCGGGACGUUUUAGGCCGUCAGACUUGAUUUGUUCAGAUUCCGGCUGAGCUCCGGCAGAUCUUUUCCGGCCGAAUUAUAUGAACCAUAUGUUGAAUGUUAAAGAUUAAUAAAAUAAUGUUUUUGUUUUUA
Long non-coding RNA from Helianthus annuus (common sunflower), 621 nucleotides. RefSeq lists it as uncharacterized. The transcript is spliced from 2 exons. The record is from RefSeq and is a predicted model, not a curated record. NCBI's taxonomy places the organism in Eukaryota, Viridiplantae, Streptophyta, Magnoliopsida, Asterales, Asteraceae.